Molecule: transfer RNA, 72 nt
Rfam family: tRNA
About the family: Transfer RNA (tRNA) molecules are approximately 80 nucleotides in length. Their secondary structure includes four short double-helical elements and three loops (D, anti-codon, and T loops).
Source: Rfam
GGCUCCAUGGUCAAGCGGUUAAGACACCACCCUUUCACGGUGGUAUCAGGGGUUCAAAUCCCCUUGGAGUCA